This 253-nucleotide ribosomal RNA is filed under the name uncultured bacterium. RNAcentral describes it as "partial 16S ribosomal RNA". It matches the Rfam family "Bacterial small subunit ribosomal RNA", at positions 524 to 776 of the family's 1533-position model. The record is from RNAcentral.
UACGAAGGGGGCUAGCGUUGCUCGGAAUCACUGGGCGUAAAGGGUGCGUAGGCGGGUCUUUAAGUCAGGGGGGAAAUCCUGGAGCUCAAUUCCAGAACUGCCUUUGAUACUGAGGAUCUUGAGUUCGGGAGAGGUGAGUGGAACUGCGAGUGUAGAGGUGAAAUUCGUAGAUAUUCGCAAGAACACCAGUGGCGAAGGCGGCUCACUGGACCGGUUCUGACGCUGAAGCGCGAAAGCGUGGGGAGCAAACGGG